Solea senegalensis (Senegalese sole) is the source of this 1127-nucleotide long non-coding RNA. RefSeq lists it as uncharacterized. NCBI's taxonomy places the organism in Eukaryota, Metazoa, Chordata, Actinopteri, Pleuronectiformes, Soleidae. The record is from RefSeq and is a predicted model, not a curated record. The transcript has 2 exons.
ACAACUCCUCUCAGGUUUUUCUAAAGACGGACAAAGCGCAGCCGCCACCAUCUAAAGCCAGCCCCAACUCAAGUCUCCCAGGCGUCUUUAUACUGCAAGGCUGGUAAUCGUCAGGCGUAGUUUGGCUGAUUGCAUUCCAGCCAUUGAUGGCUGAGCGUCCACAGCUGGACAACAGAAGCUGCAGCAAACCUAAGCACACACAUACACUCAGACACACACGUACAUGUACACAACAGCUGGAACACACUGACAAUAGGCUGAUGUGCUCAACUGCAUCUGUUUAAGUAGAUGAACCUGGUUGAUUGGACUCAACCACUCUCUGACAGCCAGGGGGGUGUUAUGGCAGCCUGCUACACUCGUCCUCAGAUGAAGAAGACCAUCUGUCCCCUUCAAUUAUCUAUGGACUGGACAGAGAAGUAUAGAAGAUCAGGCAGGAGAUGCUUUGAGUGAAGCUUGGCUUGAAAUCUUUGUGUUCAAUUUAAGUUCUGUUAAUGGUUGGGCUCAUAAAACUGCAGUGUUUUUAUGUUUUUAUCUUGUAUUUAGUUUUUGACCUUGACCUGCUCUCAUAGUUUACACCUAUGGUACGGGGAAGAACUGCACGAGUAUGGGCUGGACGUCCCAGGACCAAGAUGGAAGACACCAACAAAGGGUGAAAGGCGGGGGACAUCCUGGACAGGUCACCAGUCCAUCACAGAGACAAACAUUCACAGGUGGGUGAGUGUUCAAUUCACCUGUGGGUCUUUCUGCUACAAGGCAACAGUGCCGACCACUGCUCCUCCGUGCGUGGACAUUGUCUGUCUGUUACGACUGUGGUCAAAUAUAUGAUGGACGAUCAAUGAUAGCAGUGAACUCUGAAGCAGGACUUCUAAUGUACAAACAUCCCUGUCUUCAGAGCAGGUACAGUCGCCUAUGUUAUAGCACUUUAUACAAAUAUGAUGACAUUGUUUUAUUUUUCAGUCUAACACAAACAAACAUGGUGCUUUAGUUUGUGUAGUCUGUGUUCUCUGCUCGGCUUAUAUAACCCGUGGCUCAUUGUAUGCACAUUGUUGUGAUUUAUGAACGAGAUGUUGGUUCACAUGUGUCAUUAAUGAAUUCAAAUUGGAAACAAAUAAAUCCACAAUGAAUUA